AUGUCCGGAGCGGGAGGCAGGUGGAUGGCCUCCACCGUCACGGAGGGGCACAUCAAAAAGUUGAGGAAAGCCAGAUACUUGUCCAACGACAUUGCGCACCGGCUCCCGGAUGAGGGGCAGCUCAUCCCCACCCCCAGGCCCCAUGAGAGGGUGGUGUUCCUCACCCAUUUCCUUCGCGGACUGGGCUUCCCACUCCACCCAUUUGUCCGGGGGCUCAUGUUCUAUUACGGCCUGGAUUUCUAUGAUGUGGCCCCGAACUUCAUCCUCAACAUCUCGGCGUUUAUCAUCGUGUGCGAGGUAUUCCUCCGCAUCAAGCCCCACUUCGGCUUAUGGCUGAAGACCUUCAGUGUCAAGCCGAAGGUUGUGGGCGGUCGACAAGCGGAGUGCGGAGGCGCCAUGGUGGGCAAGAUGCCCAACGUCACAUGGCUCGAGGGCUCCUUUGUGGAAACCAUCAAAGGGUGGCAAUCGGGGUGGUUCUACAUCACCGAGCCGCGUGACCCUGAAUGGGCAGCGGCCCCCGAAUUCCAAUCUGGCAUCCCCACACGGCUCACCUCCUGGAAAGAGACGAGCCUAUUGUGGGGUAAUUCAUAA
RNAcentral lists this ribosomal RNA (591 nucleotides) under Triticum aestivum (bread wheat). RNAcentral's name for it is "partial small subunit ribosomal RNA". Lineage: Eukaryota; Viridiplantae; Streptophyta; Magnoliopsida; Poales; Poaceae. The record is from RNAcentral.